RNA transcript from Cebus imitator (Panamanian white-faced capuchin), 868 nucleotides. It is a transcript of the gene named HOATZ cilia and flagella associated protein, with no coding region annotated. The record is from RefSeq and is a predicted model, not a curated record. Lineage: Eukaryota; Metazoa; Chordata; Mammalia; Primates; Cebidae. The transcript is spliced from 7 exons.
GAGAAGCGUCCUCAGUUGCCAUGGAAACGGGACCCAGUGAAGAAUCUAGCGGCCAAAAGGAGUCCCAGGAAAUUUGCUCCCCGGGAUUACUGGUAUUUGCCGGCUCCUCAGAACAAGAUGCCAACUUGGCUAAGCAGUUCUGGAUCUCGGCGUCAAUGUAUCCCCCUAGCGAAUCUCAGCUGAUGCUGCGCAGAGACAGUAGUCAGCGUCUGCCGGUGGCCCGGCCCCCGAGGAGCAGAGGGUCUGAGAAAGGUCACUCCUCACAAUCUUUUCACCUUGCUAAUGACAAAAAUAGAGACAUCUUUGCUGAAGCCCUAAAGAUUCAGGAAUCUGAGGAGAAAGUAAAGUAUCUCCAAAAGCUGAGCCAUCAAGGCUGGGGAACCGCCCUGAAGAACUGCUUAGCCACACAGCAGCUUCUGGGGCUUUGCACGUGCUGUUUCCUCUGCCUUAAAAGCUUUCUUCCCCAUCUUGUCUCCAUCAUUAUCUGCAGGCUAAAACAAGAGAAGAGAUUCUCCAACUCUUAAGAAAACAAAGAGAAGAAAGGAUCUCGAAAGAACUGAUUUCCCUUCCUUAUAAACCAAAAGCCAAAGAACACAAAGCAAAGAAAGUGGUAUCAGAGUCAGAUAAAAAGGACCAAGAAGAAGUCAAAGCCUUGGACUAAUUUGCUUGAUACAUGGCAGAGGAUGGCUCACUCACACCUUCACUUUGGAAAUAACCUUCUCUUAGGAUCAUUAAGAUCACUGGCCACAUUAUAGAAGACAAAGAAAUACAAGUUAAGUAUGCAGAUUUCUAGGAAUUUUACCAGUUAUUGAAUACUUGUGUUAAAAUAAAGUAAGAAAUAAAAGUUAAAUAUGCAGACUUCUAUGAA